AUUUUGAUUGGCUGGAUAGAAGAGAGCUACUACGUCUGUGAUCCCCAGAUUCAUUUGCUGGGAGUUCUGUAAAUGCACGUUGUGGAGAGCAGGUAAGAAAUGAUUCCCCCUACUGUUACAAGCACUGCUGCCCAAGUGUCUAUCAAAGACCGUUUCCAAGCCCAAAUCAUGCCACCCACAGUCCGUAUUGAAGAGACCAGAGAAAAACCAGAAGUCCAGUCCUGCAAUAUGACACCAGGCAGCUCUGCUUGUGAGGUGCACUGUGUGAGAGGUCAAAGUGGCACUUCUUCUGCGAAAGAGGGGAUUGGAGAAGUUGGUGUCCAGCACCAGGAGGUGUCAUCCCCUGUGUUCUCAGCAGACCUUGCCAGUGAGACCGAAUCAAGAUCAGGGUCUCAAUCAUCCAGAGCUGCGCCAAAUGACUCUGCUUGUGAGGUGCACUGUGUCAGUGGUCAAAGUGGCACUUCUUCUGCGGAGGGGGUUGUAGAAGUUGGUGUCCAGCACCAGGAGGUGUCAUCCCCUGUGUUCUCAGCAGACCUUGCCAGUGAUGACCAGGGGAAUUCUGCCUGUGUAACUUCUGGGUCACCUCAUCUCCCUGACUCAGUUACUCAAGGUAUUAAUUAAAUGCGGUCACUAGGCACACUAGGCACACUUGCCAAUGUGCAGUCAACACUUACAUUAUGUUUGGUUAGACAUAUGUAAGGGAUAAUGUAUAGAAAACCAGUCAUUAUGGGGAAUAUUAGCCCAGACAGGGCAAACUGGACCCCGACAAGAAGCGGAGGGGUCUAGCUUCGUCCUGAAGGGGCUCAUAUUCCCCAUUGAUUGGUAGGCAGACAGGCUCUUUAAGCCCAUACAUUUAUACUGUGCAAUGUUUUUUUUAGAUGACCAGGGGAACUCUGCCUGUGUAACUUCUGGUUCACCUCAUCUCCCUGACUCAGUUACUCAAGGUUUCCGUGUUUCAUCAAGGCGGUGUACGAAGAGACCAUGGUCUGGUGAGGAGAUACAAGCCGUGAUGAAACAUCUGAGGCCUUUUGUUGAAAACGGUGUCACUGCCACCAGUGGGCAGUGCCUGCAGUGCAAGGAAAAGGAACACCCUAUCUUGGAGACAAGAUCCAUUCAAAACAUUCGAGAUUUUGUACGCAACAGAGGCUUGGCCUUUAAAAGGCAUUCAAAUUCUAAACGCUAAAUGCACUUUUGGAUAGCUUGAGCCUUUCUAGGCAUGUUUUACAAGUUGGUGUCCUGUGUUCAGAAAUGGGUUAGGUCACUUCAUUUAUUUUGCUCACAGGCAUUUUUUUGUUUGUUUGUUUUGCUUUGUGGUUAGCCU
This is an RNA transcript of Gadus chalcogrammus (walleye pollock), 1321 nucleotides long. RefSeq lists it as uncharacterized. The record is from RefSeq and is a predicted model, not a curated record. The transcript has 8 exons. Lineage: Eukaryota; Metazoa; Chordata; Actinopteri; Gadiformes; Gadidae.